RNAcentral lists this small nuclear RNA (105 nucleotides) under Sciurus vulgaris (Eurasian red squirrel). The record is from RNAcentral. Lineage: Eukaryota; Metazoa; Chordata; Mammalia; Rodentia; Sciuridae.
GUGCUCACUUUGGCAGCACAUAUACUAAAAUUGGAACGAUACAAGAUUAGCAUGGCCCCUGAAUAAGGAUGACACACACAAAUUCAGGAGGAAUUCCGUAUUUUU